GACGAAGGGGGCUAGCGUUGUUCGGAAUUACUGGGCGUAAAGAGUGUGUAGGCGGUGCUCUAAGUUCGGUGUGAAAUCUCUCGGCUUAACUGGGAGGGUGCGCCGAAAACUGGAGUGCUCGAACGUGGGAGAGGAAAGCGGAAUUCCUGGUGUAGCGGUGAAAUGCGUAGAUAUCAGGAGGAACACCUGCGGUGUAGACGGCUUUCUGGACCAUUGUUGACGCUGAGACACGAAAGCGUGGGUAGCAAACAGG
This 253-nucleotide ribosomal RNA is filed under the name uncultured bacterium. RNAcentral describes it as "partial 16S ribosomal RNA". It matches the Rfam family "Bacterial small subunit ribosomal RNA", at positions 524 to 776 of the family's 1533-position model. The record is from RNAcentral.